This 1504-nucleotide ribosomal RNA is filed under the name Erwinia amylovora. RNAcentral's name for it is "bacterial SSU rRNA". It matches the Rfam family "Bacterial small subunit ribosomal RNA". The record is from RNAcentral. Lineage: Bacteria; Pseudomonadati; Pseudomonadota; Gammaproteobacteria; Enterobacterales; Erwiniaceae.
AGAGUUUGAUCCUGGCUCAGAUUGAACGCUGGCGGCAGGCCUAACACAUGCAAGUCGAACGGUAGCGGGAAGAAGCUUGCUUCUUUGCCGACGAGUGGCGGACGGGUGAGUAAUGUCUGGGAAACUGCCCGAUGGAGGGGGAUAACUACUGGAAACGGUAGCUAAUACCGCAUAACGUCUACGGACCAAAGUGGGGGACCUUCGGGCCUCACACCAUCGGAUGUGCCCAGAUGGGAUUAGCUGGUAGGUGGGGUAACGGCUCACCUAGGCGACGAUCCCUAGCUGGUCUGAGAGGAUGACCAGCCACACUGGAACUGAGACACGGUCCAGACUCCUACGGGAGGCAGCAGUGGGGAAUAUUGCACAAUGGGCGCAAGCCUGAUGCAGCCAUGCCGCGUGUAUGAAGAAGGCCUUCGGGUUGUAAAGUACUUUCAGCGGGGAGGAAGGCGAUGGGGUUAAUAACCCUGUCGAUUGACGUUACCCGCAGAAGAAGCACCGGCUAACUCCGUGCCAGCAGCCGCGGUAAUACGGAGGGUGCAAGCGUUAAUCGGAAUUACUGGGCGUAAAGCGCACGCAGGCGGUCUGUCAAGUCGGAUGUGAAAUCCCCGGGCUCAACCCGGGAACUGCAUUCGAAACUGGCAGGCUAGAGUCUUGUAGAGGGGGGUAGAUUCCAGGUGUAGCGGUGAAAUGCGUAGAGAUCUGGAGGAAUACCGGUGGCGAAGGCGGCCCCCUGGACGAAGACUGACGCUCAGGUGCGAAAGCGUGGGGAGCAAACAGGAUUAGAUACCCUGGUAGUCCACGCCGUAAACGAUGUCGACUUGGAGGCUGUUCCCCUGAGGAGUGGCUUCCGGAGCUAAGCGUUAAGUCGACCGCCUGGGGAGUACGGCCGCAAGGUUAAAACUCAAAUGAAUUGACGGGGGCCCGCACAAGCGGUGGAGCAUGUGGUUUAAUUCGAUGCAACGCGAAGAACCUUACCUGGCCUUGACAUCCACGGAAUUCUGCAGAGAUGCGGAAGUGCCUUCGGGAACCGUGAGACAGGUGCUGCAUGGCUGUCGUCAGCUCGUGUUGUGAAAUGUUGGGUUAAGUCCCGCAACGAGCGCAACCCUUAUCCUUUGUUGCCAGCGAUUCGGUCGGGAACUCAAAGGAGACUGCCGGUGAUAAACCGGAGGAAGGUGGGGAUGACGUCAAGUCAUCAUGGCCCUUACGGCCAGGGCUACACACGUGCUACAAUGGCGCAUACAAAGAGAAGCGACCUCGCGAGAGCAAGCGGACCUCAUAAAGUGCGUCGUAGUCCGGAUCGGAGUCUGCAACUCGACUCCGUGAAGUCGGAAUCGCUAGUAAUCGUAGAUCAGAAUGCUACGGUGAAUACGUUCCCGGGCCUUGUACACACCGCCCGUCACACCAUGGGAGUGGGUUGCAAAAGAAGUAGGUAGCUUAACCUUCGGGAGGGCGCUUACCACUUUGUGAUUCAUGACUGGGGUGAAGUCGUAACAAGGUANCCGUA